CCUCAGGAGACUAACCUGUGAUGUGCCACAGGAAGAGACUAGGAGGAAGGAGUGAGGUGUCCCAGUGCCUAAGGCCCUUGCUGUGGUAGGAAACUGAUUGAGAUAUACCCAGAUGAUCCUGGCAAGCAGUCCACACCCCAAGCCACGGAGGACUGCAAAAAACCCCAAAGGUCACUGCCAAUCUGACCUGGGGGAAAAUUCUUCUGAAAUCUGCAUAUAGCACUCAGUCAGACUCUGAGCAUGAUGUGAACAAGAACCAGCCAACUGAAGCCAUCACUGAUGUUUCUGAGGAGGGAAACAAACAAAAUACAAAUACAGAAUAGAUGGGGGUGUUGGGGAAUCUCUUCCUGACCCCUGCAGGUGACUGCCUGAAGCAUGAGCUGUGAGCAGAAAGGAUUGUGGGGAGCCUUGCAGCAGUUGUCCAUCCUGUCAUGAAAGGAGCAUGGGAAGAAUCACUGGGUGGCUGCUCACCUCACACCUUUUAUGAGUCAACAAAACAGGAUCCUGCUAUCUACUGUUGCUGAGAACUCUUCCGUGUAAAGAAGAGGCAGAAAAUGUUUGAUUUUGGAUGGAUGGGUGAACCACUGAACAGCCUUUGUUUGGGGAACACAAUUGAGAAGAGAUCUGAGGUUUUACCAGAGUAGCGCAUAUGGAGAAGAAGGUAGAUGAUUUUUGAUAAGCAGCUGAGUGACCCAAGUUCCUGGGGAUGAGUGCUAAUGUCUCCUUAAAAUGUCAAGAAACAACAGCCAAUGAUGGCCAUUAGCAACCUUGGAGUCCCAGUCUUUGAUCCAGAUUCAGGGUGACCAUCCAUCCUGUGCUUUUGAACAGCCAGUAUCUGGUGCUUACUGUCCCACAGCCCAUCUCCGGU
This is a long non-coding RNA of Mauremys reevesii (Reeves's turtle), 868 nucleotides long. RefSeq lists it as uncharacterized. The transcript has 4 exons. Lineage: Eukaryota; Metazoa; Chordata; Testudines; Geoemydidae. The record is from RefSeq and is a predicted model, not a curated record.